RNA transcript from Mus musculus (house mouse), 5040 nucleotides. It is a transcript of the gene named TELO2 interacting protein 2, with no coding region annotated. Lineage: Eukaryota; Metazoa; Chordata; Mammalia; Rodentia; Muridae. The transcript is spliced from 8 exons. The record is from RefSeq and is marked validated.
GGCCGGAAGUUGCGGAAUACAGCUACCGUACUGGAAGAGCGCUUGGUUUCGGGAGCCUUUUUGGUGUCACGGUUCAGUAGUUUGUCUUUAAAAUUAACUGUUUUUUUUUUCUUUUUUGAGUUUUCGGAAAGACAAAUUUCGCUACGUGUUAGGAGCUUGAGGCUCUCCUAUUUUUUUUUCGAGACAGGGUUUCUCUGUGUAUCCCUGGCUGUCCUGGAACUCACUCUGUAGACCAGGCUGGCCUCGAACUCAGAAAUCUGCCUGCCUCUGCCUCCUGAAGCGUGCGCCACCACUGCCCGGCUUGAGGCUCUCUUCUUACAGCCACUUUACUGGGUGGAUUGACACUCGAUCCUUGCGUCAAGACAGUGAGACAUCUCGCCUUUUAGCUGUGCCUGGUUUUAGUUCUGUUCGUUGGGGGACACCGAGCCCCGGACGACCUUCCCUCCGAGACUCCAGACACCAUCCCCAUUUGGUCUCUGUCCCCCCCCGGGGGGGGCGGGGGGGGCGAGCCCAGCCCCUCCGGUGCGACUAGGAAUGAAGCUGGACAGUGCCGAAGAGAAGUCGGGGGUCGGCUGCUCCCUGCCUGCAGAGGGCUCUCCCCCGGCCCUCGAACCAGCCUUCUCCAAGAUUCUGAACCGUCUCAGCCGCCCAAAGUCAUCAGGACAGGGCGGCGCAAGAAAUGCGGCUCUUAAAGACCUCGGCGCUUUAAUAGAAGCCGCCGAAGGUGACAGAUUCUUUGAGGGGAGUGGGAGUGGGGGAUCCCUCCGGGGGAUGCCCGAGAUCCUGGGGCAGGUGGUGAGAGCCCUGGAGAAGUUCGCAGCACCCGAGGAGAAGGCAGAUGGGGUCGAAGAGCAUCCCGAAGUGCCCGAGAAGGCGACUGAAGUUGGCUCACUGUUUCUAAAGCUGUUGGGGAAGGUUGAAGCUGCCAAGAGUUCUCCCGACUGCCCUGCGUGGAAGACAGGCCUCCGUCACAUGUCAGGACCCGUGUAUAUUUUUGCCAUCACUCACAGAUUGAAGCAGCCAUGGACCAGUCCAGCAUCUCAGCAUGUUGCUGGUGAGGUGCUGUCUUUAUUGCUUAGAGUUACUGAGUGCAGUUCUGUGGCAGGAUUCCUAUGCGGAGAAAAUGAAGACGAUCGAGGGAGAUUUGCUGUGGUCUUGGGGCUUCUUAAGCCCCAUUUGAAUAAGGAAACCUGGAAGAAGAAUCCUGCUGUCAAACAUGUUUUCUCGUGGACUCUCCAACAAGUCACUCAGCCCUGGCUGAAUCAGCAUCUAGAAAAGAUACUUCCUCCGUCUUUGCUCAUCUCAGAUGACUAUCAGACAGAGAAUAAAAUCCUGGGUGUCCAGUGCCUCCAUCACAUUGUGGUUACUGUGCCAGCUGCGGACUUGCUGCAGUAUAACAGAGCCCAGGUCCUGUACCACGCCCUCUUCAAUCACCUGUACAUGCCUGAGCACCACCUCAUUCAGGCUGUGCUCCUGUGCCUCCUAGACUUGUUCCCUGUCCUAGAGAAGGCUCUGCACUGGAAGGGAGACACAGCUCGAGUCACCACACACUGUCAUGAAGUGUUACAGCUGAUCCUCACGCACAUGGAACCAGAGCACCGCCUCCUCCUACGGAGGACCUAUGCCAGACACCUGCCAGCCUUCGUGAAGAGGUUGGGGAUCCUAACUGUCCGGCACUUGAAGAGGCUGGAGCAAGUUAUCCUUGGUUAUCUGGAGGUUUAUGAUGAACCAGAAGAUGAAACUAGGUUGAAGAUCCUGGAAACCCUGAAACUUGUCAUGCAGUAUACUUGGCCCAGAAUUCCCUGCAGAGUUGUGGUCUUACUGAAGGCUCUCCUGAAACUCAUAUGUGAUAUAUCGAGGGAUACGAUCCCCACAACCGAGGCCGCUAAGAGUACAAUGCUCCAGGAAGCCACAGACUGCCUGAUUCUCCUGGACCACUGUUCCCAGGGGCAGGUGAAGGGUCUUCUGGCUAAAAUUGCAGUAUCCUGUGAAGACAGCACAGUGGUGAGCUGCAUCAGGAAGGUGCAGCAGGGCUCUGCAGAUUCUCCUGGCGAUGACACUGAAGGUGACUAACCAGCAGGAAAGGCCGCUCUCCUUAUCCCAGAUCACAUGGAUGUAGUUAUGGGGGGCCUUGUCGAAGGCAUGGAUGGGGAAGUUGUAGAUGUCGCCAUACUGAAGAAGAAACACAGACCACCUUUAACUAUGCCUGAGUAUCACACCUUUCCAAGUUCCUCUGCUCUACAAUCAGGGGCCAAGUAAGAGAACAGUGAUGAACUAUAUUUCUAUAGUUUUCCAGCCUGGGUACAGAAUGCUUUUGUCACUAGUAAUCUAAGCUGAGAAGAAAUAGUGACUUUUUAAAAAAGAGACUUUUUAUUUUAAAAACCCUUAAAAGAUUAGAGAACUACACAGAAACAAAAGCUCUAGGCAUUGAGGCUGGGGCAGAGCUCACCACAUAUGAAUUCUCAGGUCCAACACCAACAUCAUUCACACCGGACAUGGUGACAGACACUUGUAAUACAGCACAGUUGGAGGCAAGAGGACCAAGAAUUCAUACUCAUCUUUUGCUACAUCUUUUGAAUCUAAGGCCAGUCUGGGAUAUCAUUAGGUAUGGACUCAAAACAACAAGAUACACUAUAGGGAGUGGGGAAGGUGCCAAAAUGAGUGAGGUGCUGAAUGACUAUAUAUACCAGGGACCCCAGGCCCCAGACUCCAACAGCAAAGCCGCCUCCUCAGGGAUGGCAAAGCCACCCUUGGUCUGAGUGCAAACGUUGACAAGAUGUGGAGAAAAUGUGUCAUAGUUCAGCCUCUCCCAGUAUUUAGGGUCUGAAGUAUUCCCACUAGAGAUACUGCUACUGAGAUUAGUUAAACCUGUCUCCUCAACCUAGUCGUAUCCAUAAACCUGCAUCCUUAUUUAUCUAUAAGCCAUUCCCUUGUUCAGCUGUAUGAAAUAACCUGUCUCCCUGAGAGUCAGCUCUGUAUAAUAAAAUGCUGCCAAACAUCCAAGAGACUCAGCUUUGUCUUCCCAGUCCAUCUCAGCACAGCUUUCUGCCUGUCUUUUCAUCCCCUUGCUGCCCCAAGUCAGGUCUGUGCCUGGAGGCUGUGCAUGGACAGGGGAAAACAAAACGAAACCCAGAAGACCAAAACCUAUGACUGUUAGGAUGCUUUUAUACACAACUUGGAAAGAUCAACUAGAGAUAACAGCCAAGAGGAAAGUCUCAUCAGGAAGACAGGCCUACACACAGACUUGCUUUACUCUGUGGACAAACUGGGGUGCAAAGGCUAUCUGUGAUAUUUUAAAAAAUACUGCACUUUUCGUAUUUCCUAGCAGGUAAGAAAACACUUGUCACAACACUACUAGGUUUCUCACCGUAUCUUGUUUCAGUCUCUCCAGCAAUUCCUUCUCAAUAGCAUUGUCCAGCUGGGCAGCUAUUAAUGCUUUUUCCUGUAAGAAAAGACCAAACCAUUACUCCAUCAGGACUCACUUUCCAGCCUGUACACAUACAGUCCCCUAUGUUUAAUAAGGGUAUGACGUGGUUGUAUACCAGCAAGGCUUUUGCUUUUCUAGCCAGAUACACUUCUUUCUCUCUCAAAGCCUCUUGGGAGCUUUUCAAUUAGAAGUUCCCUUCUAUAAUUUGCAUAAAUGUAUCCAGUAAAUAAAAUGAAAAUAAUUCUUAUGACUUCAGCAACAGCACUCUGAAUUUCUAACAAACCCUUGAUAGAUGUAUUAUACAUAUUGACUUAUAUCCAUUUAAGAAUGUCACAUAGGCCAAGGUAGAUGGCUCAGUGGGUGAAAUACCUGGCUCACCAAUGUGAGGAUCUGAGUCUGAGCUCUCAGAACACAUGUAGAAAACCAGGCGUGAUGGCAUACACCUGUAAGGGGGCCAAUAGCAAGAGAGGAGGCAUAGGGAGGUGGAGCCCUAGAAGCUUGUGGAAAAGAUCCUGGCCCACAGAGUUCAAGCCAGGAAAGAUCUCCUCUCAAACAGAAUGCAAGGAACCUGAGGACUGUCACCCAACUUCCACAUGCAUGCUAUGCCAUGCAUGUAUGCAGUGCAAACACACUAAGUAAGAAAUACAUUAGGUGGAUAAAAAAGAAGCUCAGAAAGUACUUAAUAAUGAGCCCUCUGAAUUCAUACAGAAAAAGUGUAUUUAUUCUGAAACAUCUGCAAGAAUGUUUGAGAGUAAGGAAAUGUGGAAACUAACUAGCUGGUCUUGAAUAAAAAUGGGUGCAUGAUUAGCAAAGUGUAAAAAACUGACAAUGACUGCAGUGUGUGGUGAUACACACCUGUAAUCCCAGGCCAGUUUAGGUCACAGAGCAAGAAGCUGUCUUAGACACCGAUGAAAUAGUACAUUUGAGACAGAAAGUUUCACGUGAUGAGUGAGAAUAAAAGUACAACUAUUCCGGAGGAAGGUGUUCCUUAGAAGGACAGAACAGAGCGGCAAACGCUGAGGACUGCAGAUGGACCUGUUGGGAAGAGCUGACUCCCAAGUGUAGGUCCUGAGGACCAUUGAAGCUCGGCUCAACUCAACUGUCACUAUCUGUGAGAUGGCCUGAUAGAUUAUGCUCUGGGCAAAGCUGGAAGAGCAGGCCUUCUCCAUGCAUAUUACCAUCACCAUCCUUAGGAACCAAGCCACCCAGGUUACUUGAGAGCAGCUUAAUCUGAGAUCAACAUGUAUCCAGUUUUCUGUUUUGUUACAAACAAAUGCAAUCUCACAAUCGAACCCUUCCAUUUUCUAAAUAAUAUAACCAAAAUAGCCAUAAGACUAAAGAUAUUGUCUAAACUCUGCAGAAGGUAAUGUAAGUAGAAGACAGAAAGUGUCAAAGUCUAAAUUAUGGAACGUUUUGACCUGAAGACCUUUAGAUAGAGCUGUCCAUACUCUUUUUAUUAUACUCGAACACCUUAGAGUACCUUAUUUUCAGCCUUCAGUGAAAAUCUUAAAAAUCUGAAGAUACAAAGAGGCCACUCCCCACUAGUGACACGUUAUUAUGAAUCACAUGCAAAAAACAACUUUCUUACAUAAUAAAGAAACAUGUAAACAUCA